UACAGAGGGUGCAAGCGUUAAUCGGAAUUACUGGGCGUAAAGCGUGCGUAGUCGGUUAUUUAAGUCGGAUGUGAAAUCCCCGGGCUCAACCUGGGAAUUGCAUUCGAUACUGGAUAGCUAGAGUUCGGCAGAGGGAAGCGGAAUUUCUGGUGUAGCGGUGAAAUGCGUAGAUAUCAGAAGGAACAUCAGUGGCGAAAGCGGCUUCCUGGACCAGAACUGACGAUCAGGCACGAAAGCGUGGGGAGCGAACAGG
This 253-nucleotide ribosomal RNA is filed under the name uncultured bacterium. RNAcentral describes it as "partial 16S ribosomal RNA". It matches the Rfam family "Bacterial small subunit ribosomal RNA", at positions 524 to 776 of the family's 1533-position model. The record is from RNAcentral.